This 548-nucleotide ribosomal RNA is filed under the name uncultured Glomus. RNAcentral describes it as "SSU rRNA". It matches the Rfam family "Eukaryotic small subunit ribosomal RNA", at positions 548 to 1098 of the family's 1831-position model. The record is from RNAcentral. Lineage: Eukaryota; Fungi; Glomeromycota; Glomeromycetes; Glomerales; Glomeraceae.
UUGGAGGGCAAGUCUGGUGCCAGCAGCCGCGGUAAUUCCAGCUCCAAUAGCGUAUAUUAAAGUUGUUGCAGUUAAAAAGCUCGUAGUUGAAUUUCGGGAUCAAUGCGUCGGUCGUGCCUUCGGUACGUACUAGCGUCAUUGAUUCCUCCCUUCUGAAGAACCGUGAUGUCAUUAAUUUGGUGUUACGGGGAAUCAGGACUGUUACCUUGAAAAAAUUAGAGUGUUUAAAGCAGGCUAACGCUUGAAUACAUUAGCAUGGAAUAAUGAAAUAGGACGUUCGAACCUAUUUUGUUGGUUUCUAGGAUCGACGUAAUGAUUAAUAGGGAUGGUUGGGGGCAUUAGUAUUCAAUUGUCAGAGGUGAAAUUCUUGGAUUUAUUGAAGACUAACUACUGCGAAAGCAUUUGCCAAGGAUGUUUUCAUUAAUCAAGAACGAAAGUUAGGGGAUCGAAGACGAUCAGACACCGUCGUAGUCUUAACCAUAAACUAUGGCGACUAGGGAUCGGAUGAUGUUAAUUUUUCUUGACUCGUUCGGCACCUUACGGGAAAC